Molecule: ribosomal RNA, 779 nt
Filed under: uncultured Neocallimastigales
Lineage: Eukaryota; Fungi; Neocallimastigomycota; Neocallimastigomycetes; Neocallimastigales
Description: partial large subunit ribosomal RNA
Rfam family: Eukaryotic large subunit ribosomal RNA
Source: RNAcentral
GUACACGCUGUGACUAGCAUAUCAAUAAGCGGAGGAAAAGAAACUAACAAGGAUUCCCCUAGUAACGGCGAGUGAAGCGGGAAGAGCUCAAAUUUGAAAUCUUAAAGGGUUUCCCUUUACGAAUUGUAGUUUAAAGAAGUGUUUUUCUGUUGAGGUUUUGGUAAAAGUUCUUUGGAAUAGGACAUCAUAGAGGGUGAGAAUCCCGUAUUUGACCUUUACUUUCAACUUUGUGAUACACUUUCAAAGAGUCGGAUUGUUUGGGAAUGCCAGGUCCCAAAAUGGGUGGUAAAUUUCAUCUAAAGCUAAAUAUUGGCGAGAGACCGAUAGCGAACAAGUACCGUGAGGGAAAGAUGAAAAGAACUUUGAAAAGAGAGUUAAAGCAGUACGUGAAAUUGUCAAAAGGGAAGCGUUUGACACCAGUGUUGUUUUUCUGAAAAUCAAUUAAAGAACUGUUUAUGCUAAGCUGUUUAGACUUUAUCAGCUAUCUGUUUAGUUUUGAGCUUUUCUUUAAUGCACUUUUCAGUUAACAAGUCAACAUCAAUUUCUUUUGCUGUAAAAAAGCUUGAGGAAGGUGGCUUGAGAUUCGUCUUAAGUGUUUAUAGCCUCUUGCCUAUGCAGUCGGAGAGAUUGAGGUCUGCAGCGUAGAUCCUUCGGGGCUAAAUGCAUUUGUGCUAAGUUAUAGCAUUUUAUAGACAACUUGUUGACUAUGAUUUGUCUUGUAGCUUACUCGCUUAUGUUAUUUUACCUACGCUUAGGAUGUUGACUGAUAUGUAGUCGUA